CAUGUAACUAUGUACCAUUCAGAUGUACAACAUGUAACUAUGUACCAUUCAGAUGUACAACAUGUAACUAUGUACCAUUCAGAUGUACAACAUGUAACUAUGUACCAUUCAGAUGUACAACAUGUAACUAUGUACCAUUCAGAUGUACAAUAUGUAACUAUGUACCAUUCAGACGACAGUAUCUCUGGUCUCUCAUAUCAUCUCUGUGCUUCCAGUCAGUGUGUUAAGGUGGGCUGAGUGUUUAGUGAGAGGAGACGACAGUAUCUCUGGUCUCUCAUAUCAUCUCUGUGCUUCCAGUCAGUGUGUUAAGGUGGGCUAAGUGUUUAGUGAGAGACAGUUCCUGUGUAAAUAACAUACAAGCUCCUGUGUUACUACACAGUGGGGAUGUACCCCUCAAAUGGCACCCUAUUCCCUAUAAUAGUGCACUACUUUUGACCAAAGCCACAUACAGUAGGGCACCAUAUAUACCUCCCUUCCUCUUCUCCCUCCCUCUCCUUCUUCUACUUUCUCCCUCUCUCUCCCCCUUCUCCCUCUCUCUCCCCCUUCUCCCUCUCUCUCCCUCCCUCUCCUUCUUCUACUUUCUCCCUCUCUCUCCCCCUUCUCCCUCUCUCUCCCUCUUCUCCCUCUCUCUCCCUCCCUCUCCUUCUUCUACUUUCUCCCUCUCUCUCCCCCUUCUCCCUCUCUCUCCCUCUUCUCCCUCUCUCUCCCUCCCUCUCCUUCUUCUACUUUCUCCCUCUCUCUCCCUCUUCUCCCUCUCUCUCCCUCCCUCUCCUUCUUCUACUUUCUCCCUCUCUCUCCCCCUUCUCCCUCUCUCUCCCUCUCUCUCCCUCUCUCUCCCUCCCUCUCCUUCUUCUACUCCCCCUUCCCCUUCUUCCCCCUUUCUUCCUCUCUUCCACUCCCCUCUCUCCCCC
This 911-nucleotide long non-coding RNA is filed under the name Salmo salar (Atlantic salmon). RNAcentral's name for it is "lncRNA (ENSSSAG00000117676.1)". The record is from RNAcentral. Lineage: Eukaryota; Metazoa; Chordata; Actinopteri; Salmoniformes; Salmonidae.